This 504-nucleotide ribosomal RNA is filed under the name uncultured bacterium. Its description in RNAcentral is "bacterial SSU rRNA". It matches the Rfam family "Bacterial small subunit ribosomal RNA", at positions 94 to 630 of the family's 1533-position model. The record is from RNAcentral.
AGUGGCGCACGGGUGAGUAACACGUGACUAACCUACCCUCGAGUGGGGAAUAACCUCGGGAAACCGGGGCUAAUACCGCAUAACAUCCAGGGAUCAAAUGCGUAAGCAGCUUGGGGAGGGGGUCGCGGCUGAUUAGCUAGUUGGCGGGGUAACGGCCCACCAAGGCAAUGAUCAGUAGCCGGCCUGAGAGGGCGCACGGCCACACUGGAACUGAAACACGGUCCAGACUCCUACGGGAGGCAGCAGUGGGGAAUUUUGCGCAAUGGGGGAAACCCUGACGCAGCAACGCCGCGUGGAGGAUGAAGCCCCUUGGGGUGUAAACUCCUUUCGACCGGGACGAUUAUGACGGUACCGGUAUAAGAAGCACCGGCUAACUCUGUGCCAGCAGCCGCGGUAAUACAGAGGGUGCAAGCGUUGUUCGGAAUUAUUGGGCGUAAAGGGUGCGUAGGCGGUGCGGUAAGUCUUCUGUGAAAUCUCCGGGCUCAACUCGGAGUCUGCAGGGGA